GACAGAGGGUGCCAACGUUGCUCGGAAUUACUGGGCGUAAAGCGCGUGUAGGCGGUGCGAUCAGUCGGGUGUGAAAGCCCCGGGCUCAACCCGGGAAGCGCCCUCGAUACUGUCGCGCUGGGGUCUUGAAGAGGAGAGCGGAAUUCCCGGUGUAGAGGUGAGAUUCGUAGAUAUCGGGAGGAACACCAGUGGCGAAGGCGGCUCUCUGGGCAAUGACCGACGCUGAGACGCGAAAGCGUGGGGAGCAAACAGG
This 253-nucleotide ribosomal RNA is filed under the name uncultured prokaryote. Its description in RNAcentral is "partial 16S ribosomal RNA". It matches the Rfam family "Bacterial small subunit ribosomal RNA", at positions 524 to 776 of the family's 1533-position model. The record is from RNAcentral.